Molecule: long non-coding RNA, 1369 nt
Organism: Pangasianodon hypophthalmus (striped catfish)
Lineage: Eukaryota; Metazoa; Chordata; Actinopteri; Siluriformes; Pangasiidae
Exons: 3
Source: RefSeq, a predicted model, not a curated record
UGGAAGUGUAAUCUGACAGAAGAAAGCUGUAGAGUUCUGUCCUCAGUUCUCAGCUCAAACUCCUCCAGUCUGAGAGAACUGGACCUGAGUGUCAAUAAACUGCAGGAUUCAGGAGUGAAGCUGCUCUCUGCUGGACUGGAGAAUCCACACUGUACACUGGAGACACUGGAGAUGCGUUACUGCCGUAUUAGAGAUGAGGGGUGUGCUGCUCUGGCUUCAGCUCUGAGGUCAAACUUCUCAUCACACCUGAGAGAACUGGAUCUGAACGGUAAUAAUCCAGGAGAAUCAGGAGUGAAGCUGCUCUCUGAUCUACUGAAGGAUCCACACUGUAAACUGGAGACACUACACAUUAAGGAUUGUAAACUCACCAGGACUGGCGUAUGACAGGAGUCUCACCUCAAACCUCUUUUCCAGGAUAAAGCAGUUUGGUGAAGCGUUAGAACCCGUCCCACAUUUCCAGCAGUUUGGGAGCUGAAUCAUUCAUAUUCAGAUGUAGAAGUUCCAUAACAAUAACCAUGACUGAUCACAUCCUUUUAUCCACUCAGCUACAAGUUACUUCAGGCUUUAAUAACAUAUUUUACAGUCCAAAAUCAAAUCCUUCAGCAUCUACACACAACACAGAGAUAUCAUCACAUCAUCACACUGAUUACACAAAUACACACUCACAUUUUUUAUCUACUUAUUCAGAGUGUGUUUCUGCUCAACAGUUUUAUUCAGUUUGUUGUACCAUGACAGUGAAACAUUUGCUUCUCCACAGAUGAUUGAUUCACAGUUGUAAUAUUGAUUAAAUUUUUUUUUUUUAUUCAAAUAAUUGUUCCUUGUUUGCUAAUUUGUUUUGAUAGUAAUCAUGAUAUUUUGAUUAUUUAAGGUAUUUAGAUUUUUAAACUAAAAAACAGUAACUGAAACUUAACUACAUGCACUGUAUAUAUUCCUGUUAUUUAAUAGUUUUGUAUAUGUGUUGUGUGUAUGUCAUUUACACUAUGUGUAGUACAAAAUAAACAGUGACUGUGACUGAAACACAACAGUUCAGGUGUGUGUGGACUGUACUGUAAUUACUCUUAGCAUCGACCACUACCAGGACUAACACGUGUUCCACCACACUGAGAAACUUCAAUGUUGUGUCACGAUUCAUGAACUCUGAGCUGGACUUUCUGACUGUUCAAGAGGAAUCUUAUCGUAACCAUGGUGACAGUGAGAGUCUCAGCUGUUCAGAGUGAACACACCCCCCCAUAUGCCCCACUGCCUGCAUUAAUUAUUACUAUAGAGCAGUGUGUGAUGCUGUGAGUGUGCUAGUGGUGGCUGAUGUCCAGUAAAUAAUGUGGUAAUGUUAGCUUCAAACAAAGCAUGUGUCAGUCAGACAUGCAUUUAC